UUUAGAGUGGCAGAAGUAUAUGCAAUGGAUUUAAGCUCCAUACAUGAGGUUACUCCUCUAAAA
This 63-nucleotide transfer RNA is filed under the name Phallocryptus tserensodnomi. RNAcentral describes it as "tRNA-Leu". Lineage: Eukaryota; Metazoa; Arthropoda; Branchiopoda; Anostraca; Thamnocephalidae. The record is from RNAcentral.